AACGAACGCUGGCGGCGUGGAUUAGGCAUGCAAGUCGAACGAGAAAGAUUCCUUCGGGGAUUGAGUAGAGUGGCAAACGGGUGAGUAGCGCGUGGGAAAUCUGCCUUUUAGUUGGGGACAACACUUCUAACGAGGUGCUAAUACCGAAUAAGAUCUUACUAUCGCAUGAUGGUUUGAUGAAAGACGGCCUCUGUUUACAAGCUGUCACUGAAAGAUGAUCCCGCGUCCCAUUAGCUUGUUGGUGAGGUAACGGCCCACCAAGGCUAUGAUGGGUAGCCGGCCUUAGCGGGUGACCGGCCACACUGGGACUGAGAUACGGCCCAGACUCCUACGGGUGGCUG
Molecule: ribosomal RNA, 341 nt
Filed under: uncultured Latescibacterota bacterium
Lineage: Bacteria; Pseudomonadati; Candidatus Latescibacterota
Description: bacterial SSU rRNA
Rfam family: Bacterial small subunit ribosomal RNA
Source: RNAcentral